GAACUUCAUUUGCGUCGAAGUUUCCGAAGAUUUGUUGCGGUUUGGUGUGUCUUUUAUUUUUUACGUAGAACUCAUAUCGAUCCGAUAUGCCGCGUCCGAAAAUGGAUUUUGCGACUAAUAAGUGGCGAUGCACCACGCGAGCAAGAAUGAACAGCCCUGGAGGUUAUGGGCACUGCUCAAUUGGCUCAUUCCUCGGUGCUUCUCGAAGGCCUGGUCAAGGAGGAGUUGCUCAGUGAACUACUAGUUUGAGUUCCCUGAGACGGACACCACUGACAUCACCUACAGUGCCGAGGUACAGGCUUAAUGGCAGAUAUCAAUAGGAGAUGAUGGUACGCGUCACGUCUGUUUGGUUGGACAGCCACCAAGUUGACUUGGAUGUCAGCGCCUGUUGUCAUCAGAACCUGGUUCUUGUGCUGCCACAUCAUUUUUGGUGGUGGCGCUGUCGUCACCUCCCAGCGCUUGCGCUCCCCGAGUUCCCAUUCAAGAUGGUGCUGCCACGGACUUUGGCUCGUGGGGGUGCCGUCGCUACUGACAAAGCCUGUGCUCCCCGUCGUCCCUGUUGAAAUGGUGGCUAGAACUUGGAGAGGGUUUGCCGCCACAGCCGGUCAGUUCAAGUUCCGCACAUUCUGCCGUAGCCCUUGGGAAUUCGUUCCUUCCAUGUUGAGGUUCUAGUAGGAGAAGUCCACCGCUGUUGAGCUACAUGUCACCACAGCAGUCAAUCUGCAGAGGGGCAUGGCCACGUGACCACACUUAUGAAAUGUUAGAGCCUUGUUGUGGACAUGGAGGCCGGUGUGAGAGAUUUAAUAUGCGUCUGGCACAUCUGCCCGGUGAAAGAACUCAUGGGUGUGCCACAUGGAAAGUGAGCAGACUGUGCAAGUCUCUUUUACAAAAUGGCGCUAACAAUAGGUAGUGUCUGAAUCAUUCUUGUCUUACGUAGGUGAUACUUUCUAGGCGUAAUGUGUUAGUAGAUAGCUAUGGUGUUAUUGCUUAACUCUGAACAAGAUACAAAGUAUGAGACAUUUUCAGGCCAAGUAAAAAAUUUCUGCUCACUUUAAUCUUGAAGAUCUUCCAGAGUUUCACAUCAUCCAGCAAUCCUGAAGGCGAUGCACCACAUGUAAUUAUAAUUAAUAUUCCCGCUCUUAGUUUACCAGGAAGGUGUUUAAAAAAUUGUAAGUAGUGUUAGUUGCUUAGGAGAGCGAUGUGUUGCACCUUGGCGUUCCAUUCACUUUGGGAUGAGGUGCUUCAUUCUUGUGCGUCCUUGGUUGUUUCCUUAGCCCCUAAAGAUGUUGGAGAUUUAUAUGUUUUAUUUUGGGGGAAACCAUGUUAUGUUAGUAUCUGGCAUGCUUUUUUUUAUUGCUGAAAGCUGUUUGAAGUGAGCCUUUUGUCCACCUAAGAGCAUAAUGAUUGGGAGCUUCACUCAGGUGUGUUUUCUGGCCACACCGCAGAGCAUGAUUGUAAGCAUCGACGCAUGCUAUUGAUACCAUGAUUGGGACUUCAGAGAAGAUCAGUCAAGUCUUCCUAUUUUUAUUUCCAUUGAUUCUUUCUUUGGCAUUCUAGAUAUCUUUUUGUAAACGUGUUCACGUAAGCUUGUUCAACUUUCUGGGUCAUAGUAUCGGGUCGUUCUGUAAUUAUCAUAUGCUUUAUGCAUUUGUCAUUAGUCUCAUCUGAAGUUGUCAUGGGCACAUGGCUGACACAGUUGGUGCUGCUUUGAUUUGGAGGGUAAAUAUUGUCCGCCAUAGGUCUAGCAAACUUCAUAUAUUCUACACUUCAAAAUUUUCUCGUAGACCUGAUUACUAGGCAAUAAGCUCCUUUUCAAUAUGUGCGUUUACUUAAAUUGAAAAGCCAAAAGGCUUUUAAUAAUCAGCCACAUGCAGAAUAAGAACAGUGUUUCUGCCACCUAGUGUGGGAGAAAAUGGGUGGGAGGGGAUGGAGGCCAAAGCAAACGCAAGCAGUGUGAAUACAACUCUAGGACUUAUAUGCGGGGUAAGUGAGGAAUUUGAACUGUCUACCUAGACCAUGUAGCUCACACAUUUAGCAGAGGAUAAUUGGGUUUGAUUUAACAAGGUAUUGGGGUGGUUGUAAAGCUCCUAUACAGCCCCGCAUGGAGUCACCCUGCAUGCACUGAUCUAGACUGCUCGUUUCACAUAGAUUUUUGUGACCUAUUGAUCUAACUGCUUCUUUUAUUUGCAAAUUUUUGUGUUAUUCAGGAUAAUUGGGAACCCAGCAAAAGGUUGGCAUGUCAUGGAGUAAACAUGCCAUUGUACAGUGUGCUUCACUCUAAAAUGUAAUGCAUGGACAGUGGCCAAAGCUGAUGACACUUGUCUAAUGAGGAAAUCAAUGAUACUGCACAAACUGAAGCAUAUCUUCCUGGGACCGUUGCCAUUCCCCUAUACAAUUAUUGCAUGACCUCCUUGUUUUUUUUUUAUUGCCCUCAGUUAAUUUGACCAGGACUGGAUUGCUGUUAUCCUUAAUGGGUCGGCGUGUCACGUUUAUCUUGAGGUCCAAUUAACGGGAAAUUUGUUUUGAUAAGUUAAAUAAGGGGAACAACAAAAUAUUCAGAGCAAUGUCUUUUUUUUUCUUUCUAUUUUUUUGCAUCACCGAAACAUUUAUUGGUCACCGCAUUGAAACUGGGAGUGUAACGCACGAAGAGAACUGCAGUGUGACCCUCCAGUCUCUGCCGUCAGACGAUGCACACAUUCUGCAACGAUCCAGUGUUACAUUCCUGUGGCUUUUUGGUUGUUUCCCAAUUAUUGAAGGGAGUUGCAGGCUUAUCAUGGGCGACAUAGUGCUUUGCUCGCACCUUCACGGAGUACAGCAAUGUGGGGAAGCAAGUCGAGGACAGCCUGUCUCGAUUUCUGUCCCGGGGGCGCUAUGCUCUUCCAGCUGACACCUUACAGACAUGUCAGGAAGCAAGGAAAGGUUAUUUUUUCACUCAUCGUUUACAUUUGGGUGAUUAACUUAGUCUUGAAAAAAAAACACGUCAUUUUAAUGACAUUGUGAUAAAUAAAUUUUGGGUCUUUAAAUUGUCCUUCAA
This 3034-nucleotide unclassified non-coding RNA is filed under the name Ixodes scapularis (black-legged tick). RNAcentral's name for it is "uncharacterized LOC120850333, transcript variant X7". Lineage: Eukaryota; Metazoa; Arthropoda; Arachnida; Ixodida; Ixodidae. The record is from RNAcentral.